UUGCUGGUGGUAACAGAGAUCCUGGU
RNAcentral lists this non-coding RNA (26 nucleotides) under Homo sapiens (human). The record is from RNAcentral. Lineage: Eukaryota; Metazoa; Chordata; Mammalia; Primates; Hominidae.